GGUCAUGAGUGCCAGCGUCAAGCCCCGGCUUGCUGGCCGGCAACCCUCCUCCGCGGUGGGGUGCUCCGGGUGACGACCUGGCGCGCAUCGAAGCCAGAUGCGGCAAGUGCGGAUU
This 115-nucleotide non-coding RNA is filed under the name Nocardia cyriacigeorgica. RNAcentral describes it as "SAM-IV sequence". It matches the Rfam family "SAM (S-adenosyl methionine) riboswitch aptamer". Rfam says of the family: SAM-IV is a mRNA element that regulates gene expression via direct sensing of S-adenosylmethionine (SAM or AdoMet). SAM-IV riboswitches share conserved nucleotide positions with the previously described SAM-I riboswitches sequence analysis and molecular recognition experiments suggest that SAM-I and SAM-IV riboswitches share similar ligand binding sites, but have different scaffolds. The record is from RNAcentral. RNAcentral also lists the same sequence under 1 other name. Lineage: Bacteria; Bacillati; Actinomycetota; Actinomycetes; Mycobacteriales; Nocardiaceae.